RNAcentral lists this ribosomal RNA (693 nucleotides) under uncultured Bacteroidales bacterium. RNAcentral describes it as "bacterial SSU rRNA". It matches the Rfam family "Bacterial small subunit ribosomal RNA", at positions 53 to 736 of the family's 1533-position model. The record is from RNAcentral. Lineage: Bacteria; Pseudomonadati; Bacteroidota; Bacteroidia; Bacteroidales.
ACAUGCAAGUCGAGGGGCAGCAUGAACUUAGCUUGCUAAGUUUGAUGGCGACCGGCGCACGGGUGAGUAACACGUAUCCAACCUGCCGAUGACUCGGGGAUAGCCUUUCGAAAGAAAGAUUAAUACCCGAUGGCAUAGCUCUUCCGCAUGGUAGAACUAUUAAAGAAUUUCGGUCAUCGAUGGGGAUGCGUUCCAUUAGGUUGUUGGCGGGGUAACGGCCCACCAAGCCUUCGAUGGAUAGGGGUUCUGAGAGGAAGGUCCCCCACAUUGGAACUGAGACACGGUCCAAACUCCUACGGGAGGCAGCAGUGAGGAAUAUUGGUCAAUGGACGAGAGUCUGAACCAGCCAAGUAGCGUGAAGGAUGACUGCCCUAUGGGUUGUAAACUUCUUUUAUACGGGAAUAAAGUGAGGCACGUGUGCCUUUUUGUAUGUACCGUAUGAAUAAGGAUCGGCUAACUCCGUGCCAGCAGCCGCGGUAAUACGGAGGAUCCGAGCGUUAUCCGGAUUUAUUGGGUUUAAAGGGAGCGUAGGCGGACGCUUAAGUCAGUUGUGAAAGUUUGCGGCUCAACCGUAAAAUUGCAGUUGAUACUGGGUGUCUUGAGUACAGUAGAGGCAGGCGGAAUUCGUGGUGUAGCGGUGAAAUGCUUAGAUAUCACGAAGAACUCCGAUUGCGAAGGCAGCUUGCUGGACUG